RNAcentral lists this ribosomal RNA (1359 nucleotides) under Limosilactobacillus fermentum. Its description in RNAcentral is "bacterial SSU rRNA". It matches the Rfam family "Bacterial small subunit ribosomal RNA", at positions 66 to 1414 of the family's 1533-position model. Lineage: Bacteria; Bacillati; Bacillota; Bacilli; Lactobacillales; Lactobacillaceae. The record is from RNAcentral.
ACCUGAUUGAUUUUGGUCGCCAACGAGUGGCGGACGGGUGAGUAACACGUAGGUAACCUGCCCAGAAGCGGGGGACAACAUUUGGAAACAGAUGCUAAUACCGCAUAACAGCGUUGUUCGCAUGAACAACGCUUAAAAGAUGGCUUCUCGCUAUCACUUCUGGAUGGACCUGCGGUGCAUUAGCUUGUUGGUGGGGUAACGGCCUACCAAGGCGAUGAUGCAUAGCCGAGUUGAGAGACUGAUCGGCCACAAUGGGACUGAGACACGGCCCAUACUCCUACGGGAGGCAGCAGUAGGGAAUCUUCCACAAUGGGCGCAAGCCUGAUGGAGCAACACCGCGUGAGUGAAGAAGGGUUUCGGCUCGUAAAGCUCUGUUGUUAAAGAAGAACACGUAUGAGAGUAACUGUUCAUACGUUGACGGUAUUUAACCAGAAAGUCACGGCUAACUACGUGCCAGCAGCCGCGGUAAUACGUAGGUGGCAAGCGUUAUCCGGAUUUAUUGGGCGUAAAGAGAGUGCAGGCGGUUUUCUAAGUCUGAUGUGAAAGCCUUCGGCUUAACCGGAGAAGUGCAUCGGAAACUGGAUAACUUGAGUGCAGAAGAGGGUAGUGGAACUCCAUGUGUAGCGGUGGAAUGCGUAGAUAUAUGGAAGAACACCAGUGGCGAAGGCGGCUACCUGGUCUGCAACUGACGCUGAGACUCGAAAGCAUGGGUAGCGAACAGGAUUAGAUACCCUGGUAGUCCAUGCCGUAAACGAUGAGUGCUAGGUGUUGGAGGGUUUCCGCCCUUCAGUGCCGGAGCUAACGCAUUAAGCACUCCGCCUGGGGAGUACGACCGCAAGGUUGAAACUCAAAGGAAUUGACGGGGGCCCGCACAAGCGGUGGAGCAUGUGGUUUAAUUCGAAGCUACGCGAAGAACCUUACCAGGUCUUGACAUCUUGCGCCAACCCUAGAGAUAGGGCGUUUCCUUCGGGAACGCAAUGACAGGUGGUGCAUGGUCGUCGUCAGCUCGUGUCGUGAGAUGUUGGGUUAAGUCCCGCAACGAGCGCAACCCUUGUUACUAGUUGCCAGCAUUAAGUUGGGCACUCUAGUGAGACUGCCGGUGACAAACCGGAGGAAGGUGGGGACGACGUCAGAUCAUCAUGCCCCUUAUGACCUGGGCUACACACGUGCUACAAUGGACGGUACAACGAGUCGCGAACUCGCGAGGGCAAGCAAAUCUCUUAAAACCGUUCUCAGUUCGGACUGCAGGCUGCAACUCGCCUGCACGAAGUCGGAAUCGCUAGUAAUCGCGGAUCAGCAUGCCGCGGUGAAUACGUUCCCGGGCCUUGUACACACCGCCCGUCACACCAUGAGAGUUUG